UGAGAAGAUCUAGGGACUUCCAUCACCCUAUUCCCUUUUAUCCAAUCAAAUCUUGAGGUCGCCCUCCUUUUGUGGAGUUGUUCUCUUUUACGCUUAUUACUCCUUUCACCACUUUAUAACAAGCAAGAAUUAUUACAGCAUGAUUAUGGGAGUUUGGUGGUUUGAAAAUUUAUUUUCAAGAAAAGCUAUAAAUUAUAUUUUUCCAUGAUAAAUGUUUCUAAAAAAGGGAUUCAUACAAAGCUACGGUAAUACGAACACUUUUAAAACUGUAAAACACAGUUUCAACCGCACUUUAUCAUGCUAAUCUAUAAUCCAUGGCUAAUACUACAAAUAUUUACACGAAAAACUCUGACUCUGCUUCCAGUUGGCUUGCGCACAUGCACAGAAACAGGCAUCGAUUUCUGACUGUAUAAAUUACCAGAAAAGAAAAUCAAUGCUCCUAAUUACUUACUAUGAACAUGCAUAAUUCACGAGACAAACAUAGAGUGCUAUGAUAAUUUAGCAAUUGAUAUUUGAACAAGAGGUGAUUAUGAAAGUUACGUCAACAUAUCAAAUAAUUUACUCUGGCUGUUGCCUAUAGUGGCUGACAUCAAAUGCAUUAGGUGCAUAUCAGAGAAUGAGCAUGCGCAAACCAAAUGUAGGGUGAAGAUUGCAAAAUGAUGAUUAUCAUAAUAACUAAAACUUGUCACAUAGUCUUCCACUAGUGCUAAAUUGCUUGUAUAAAUAAGAGUAGUGUACAACUAGAUCACCCCAAGUACCAGUAAGUGGGUGGACUAAAGGUCGGAGAGAGACAGAGAGAAAAAAGCAAAAGGCAGAAAAAUGAAAAUGAUGCAAGACGAAACCCGAAAGGGUCCAUGGACAGAACAGGAGGACAUUCUACUGAUCAACUUCGUGAACUUAUUUGGUGAUCGACGAUGGGAUUUUAUAGCAAAAGUAUCAGGUUUGAAGGUGGCGGGAGACAAAUAUAGGUAUGCAUAUAUGGCGAUGGGUGGUUUUGUAAAGGAACCACCUUUAACCACCUGGUUUUGUUGUAGGUUUGAACAGAACAGGAAAAAGUUGCAGGUUGCGAUGGGUUAAUUAUCUCCACCCUGGUCUUAAAAGAGGAAAGAUGACACCUCAAGAAGAAAGACUCGUCCUGGAACUUCACGCCAGAUGGGGAAAUAGAUAUAUAUUACUGAAA
Populus trichocarpa (black cottonwood) is the source of this 1180-nucleotide RNA transcript. It is a transcript of the gene named transcription factor MYB48, with no coding region annotated. The transcript has 2 exons. NCBI's taxonomy places the organism in Eukaryota, Viridiplantae, Streptophyta, Magnoliopsida, Malpighiales, Salicaceae. The record is from RefSeq and is a predicted model, not a curated record.